AGACAUAUGCUCUCUAGUAAAGCGAGCAUCACUUAAGGAUUCAACCCCUCUGAAGAAUUGAAUGUUUAUCAUCAGGUGGAUAAUGAAUGCCUUAAGUUUGACAAGAUGAACAGAAGACAAUAUAAAGGACAUCAGUUCUGCUAUAGCACUGGUGAUAGAAGGUUCCAUCCAUGAGUUAUGUAUUACAGCAUUAUUCGGCAUGGGAUCUGCUUCCACUAUUGAAACGACUCGUUUUUUCAUUUUACUUUUCAGGACCUUCUGAAAUUUUUGCCUAGUGAAUGCAUAAAGUAGAGGGUGAAAUAUGGUUGUUCCGUAUGCCAUA
Molecule: non-coding RNA, 322 nt
Organism: Caretta caretta (loggerhead turtle)
Lineage: Eukaryota; Metazoa; Chordata; Testudines; Cheloniidae
Source: RefSeq, a predicted model, not a curated record